UGGGGAAUAUUGCACAAUGGGCGCAAGCCUGAUGCAGCCAUGCCGCGUGUGUGAAGAAGGCCUUCGGGUUGUAAAGCACUUUCAGCGGGGAGGAAGGCGGUGAGGUUAAUAACCUCAUCGAUUGACGUUACCCGCAGAAGAAGCACCGGCUAACUCCGUGCCAGCAGCCGCGGUAAUACGGAGGGUGCAAGCGUUUAUCGGAAUUACUGGGCGUAAAGCGCACGCAGGCGGUUGAUUGAGUCAGAUGUGAAAUCCCCGGGCUUAACCCGGGAAUUGCAUCUGAUACUGGUCAGCUAGAGUCUUGUAGAGGGGGGUAGAAUUCCAUGUGUAGCGGUGAAAUGCGUAGAGAUGUGGAGGAAUACCGGUGGCGAAGGCGGCCCCCUGGACAAAGACUGACGCUCAGGUGCGAAAGCGUGGGGAGCAAACAGG
Molecule: ribosomal RNA, 429 nt
Filed under: Chloroflexota bacterium
Lineage: Bacteria; Bacillati; Chloroflexota
Description: Chloroflexi bacterium partial 16S ribosomal RNA
Rfam family: Bacterial small subunit ribosomal RNA
Source: RNAcentral